RNAcentral lists this ribosomal RNA (396 nucleotides) under Triticum aestivum (bread wheat). RNAcentral describes it as "partial small subunit ribosomal RNA". The record is from RNAcentral. Lineage: Eukaryota; Viridiplantae; Streptophyta; Magnoliopsida; Poales; Poaceae.
AUGCGACAAGAUGUCAUUCAGGAAUUGGUGGCGCUUUAUCAAAGAGUAUGGCCUUAUCUACCGAUCGAGCCCUACUUGGUCGAUAAAGCGCUUCAUUCCUAUCUGGACCAUAUUCACGCAACUGAUUCUUUCACUGUUCUCCAAGCGUCUUAUCAAGAUCUGCGGGAGAAUGAGGGAGGAUCCGUUUUUUUCGUAGUUGUUUCCCACAACCGAGAUCUCCUUGAGGCGGAAAGCUACGCAAGGAGGUGCCUGGAAGUGGAACAGAGGAUCCGGUGGGAAGAAAUCCCCAAGAGCAAGGCAAGUCUCAAAAGAGGUGAGCACGAGCAUGCUCUCGACUUGUUUAAGUCGUAGGAUCUUAGAAGGGAAUUAGAAAAAAAGAGUGGGGUAGCUCAGUAA